AAACUUUGCAAUGUGCGAAAGCACGACAAGGUUAAUCCGAGUGAUUUGUGCUAAACGAAUCUUUUGUUAGUCUCUAGAACCACUAACGAAUAAGGGUGGGCA
RNAcentral lists this ribosomal RNA (102 nucleotides) under uncultured archaeon. RNAcentral describes it as "partial 16S ribosomal RNA". The record is from RNAcentral.